RNAcentral lists this transfer RNA (73 nucleotides) under Actinomycetota bacterium. RNAcentral describes it as "Actinobacteria bacterium tRNA-Arg". It matches the Rfam family "tRNA". Rfam says of the family: Transfer RNA (tRNA) molecules are approximately 80 nucleotides in length. The record is from RNAcentral. Lineage: Bacteria; Bacillati; Actinomycetota.
GCCUUCGUAGCUCAGUGGAUAGAGCACCGGUUUCCUAAACCGUAGGUCGCAGGUUCGAUCCCUGCCGAGGGCA